UCUCCGUUGGUGAACCAGCGGAGGGAUCAUUACAGAGUUUAUUAUAACUCCUAAACCCAUGUGAACCUACCUUCUGUUGCCUCGGCAGGCAAGUCGUAUCUUGCUACCCUAUAGGACCCUAUCUUGAAAGACGUUACCUUAUAAGGUCCUAUCCGGUAGAGAGAUGCGGUACUACCUGCCGGUGGACUGAAAAAAAAAUUCUGUUUAAUAAAUGGUAUUCUGAAUCAUUAUAUGGAAAUUAAGUUAAAACUUUCAACAACGGAUCUCUUGGUUCUG
RNAcentral lists this unclassified non-coding RNA (276 nucleotides) under plant metagenome. RNAcentral describes it as "partial contains small subunit ribosomal RNA, internal transcribed spacer 1, and 5.8S ribosomal RNA". The record is from RNAcentral.